Non-coding RNA from Oryza sativa Japonica Group (Japanese rice), 1728 nucleotides. NCBI's taxonomy places the organism in Eukaryota, Viridiplantae, Streptophyta, Magnoliopsida, Poales, Poaceae. The record is from RefSeq and is a predicted model, not a curated record.
UCCCCCUCUCUCUCCCCAGAGGAGCAGCAAGGUCUCUCUCCUCCUCGAUCUGCCGCAGGGGGUCCCCUCGAUGGCGACGCCUCGCUCCCCGAGCACCCGCGGCGACGCGCUCCUUGACUCGGCGCCCCUGCUCGGCGUGGGGCUGGCGGCGGCGGCGGCGGACGGCGCCGAGGGGGCGCGCUCCGCCGGCCGUCGCUCCGCGGCGCGGCGCGGCUGCUGCGGCGCGGGGGGCGGCGGGCGAUGCGGGAGCCGUCGGUGCUGGUGCGGGAGGCGGCCGCGGAGCACCUCGAGGAGCGGCAGGCGGACUGGGCCUACUCCCGCCCCGUCGUGGCGCUCGACCUGCUCUGGAACCUCGCUUUCAUCACCGUCGCCGCCGUCGUGCUCGUGCUCAGCCGUGGCGAGGACUCGCCCAUGCCGCUCCGGACCUGGGUCGCCGGCUACGCCCUGCAGUGCGUCGUCCACAUGGUCUGCGUCGCCAUCGAGUACCGGAUGCGCCGGGGGCAGCGUGACAGGGCCCCGGCGUCCGCCGACGAGGAAAGGGGAAGUGACGGGUCGUCUUCAUCUAGCGAUGAUGAUGUCACGGAGGACGAUCGCCGUGGUAGCUGCACCGAUUGCGUCAGUAUUGCAAAGCACCUGGAGUCAGCUAAUACAAUGUUCUCCUUCAUAUGGUGGAUAAUUGGAUUUUAUUGGAUAUCUGCUGGGGGUGAGGAUGUUAUCCGUGAUGCACCUCAGCUUUACUGGCUUUGCAUAGUCUUUCUGGCAUUUGACGUGUUCUUUGUUGUAUUCUGUGUUGCUCUGGCUUGCAUCAUUGGUAUUGCUGUAUGUUGCUGCCUACCUUGCAUUAUAGCUAUUCUCUAUGCGGUUUCUGAUCAGGAAGGAGCGUCAGAAGAUGAUAUUCGCCAAAUUCCAAGAUACAAAUUUCGGAGAACAGAUGAACCUGAAAAACAAACUGCUGAUGAGACAGGACCUUUUGGUGGAAUAAUGACAGAGUGUGGCACCAAUCAACCUAUUGAGAAAGUACUCGCACCUGAAGAUGCGGAGUGUUGCAUUUGCCUUUCGGCAUAUGAUGAUGGUGCAGAGCUGCGUGAACUUCCUUGUGGGCACCAUUUCCACUGUGCCUGCAUUGAUAAAUGGCUGCAUAUCAACGCAACAUGCCCCCUGUGCAAGUUCAAUAUCCGGAAAAGUGGCAGUAGCAGUGGAAGUGAAGAAGUAUGAUUGUGUGAAUAUCCUCCGGUCGAGAACACCGAUCCAUUUCAACUUCACACCUGUCUCUGCUAAUGCAACCACAGGACCUGACCAGUGUAAAUUUUGUAUCCAAAAUGUGUGAUUAGCGUCAUAUAUGUACUUGAAGUGACUCAAGACUGCUGUUCAUAUCCACAUACAUGGUUGUCCAAUGUGUCUUUUACUGUCCGGAAUACAUGCUUAGUUGCCCCGUGAGUUGUAAUUCUUCGAGUGAUCCUCACAUUUCCUGCUUGUGUUAGCAUGGUUUGUGCUUAUGCUCCUGCCUUGGUCAUUGGUUCAGCACAAAAACUGUUGUAAAUGGGCUAUCGGUCCUGUUGAAUUGUCAGGUACAAACGAAAUGCGUCCUGCUUAUGAUUCAUCUCUUGUACUCUCGAAGUCCUACAGCCAGUUCUUCCGAACUGAAGCAUUUUACCGAGCUGGGAGUCAUAAAAGAUGUUUUUGAUCGGUCUGUUGUUGAACUGAUAAGGUAAUAAAAUAUUUGAAAUC